This 459-nucleotide ribosomal RNA is filed under the name uncultured bacterium. RNAcentral describes it as "partial 16S ribosomal RNA". It matches the Rfam family "Bacterial small subunit ribosomal RNA", at positions 338 to 795 of the family's 1533-position model. The record is from RNAcentral.
CCUACGGAAGGCAGCAGUGAGGAAUAUUGGUCAAUGGCCGAGAGGCUGAACCAGCCAAGUCGCGUGAGGGAAGACGGCCCUACGGGUUGUAAACCUCUUUUGUCGGGGAGCAAAGCGAACCACGUGUGGUUCAUUGAGAGUACCCGAAGAAAAAGCAUCGGCUAACUCCGUGCCAGCAGCCGCGGUAAUACGGAGGAUGCGAGCGUUAUCCGGAUUUAUUGGGUUUAAAGGGUGCGUAGGCGGGCCUUCAGGCCGGCGGUAAAAUUGCGGGGCUCAACCCCGCCGAGCCGUCGGAACCGGGGGCCUUGAGUACCGGAGAAGUACGCGGAAUGCGUGGUGUAGCGGUGAAAUGCAUAGAUAUCACGCAGAACCCCGAUUGCGAAGGCAGCGUACCGGCCGGUCACUGACGCUGAGGCACGAAAGCGCGGGUAUCGAACAGGAUUAGAUACCCUUGUAGUC